Molecule: ribosomal RNA, 424 nt
Filed under: uncultured Nitrosospira sp.
Lineage: Bacteria; Pseudomonadati; Pseudomonadota; Betaproteobacteria; Nitrosomonadales; Nitrosomonadaceae
Description: bacterial SSU rRNA
Rfam family: Bacterial small subunit ribosomal RNA
Source: RNAcentral
CAAGACCUUGCGCUUUUGGAGCGGCCGAUGUCUGAUUAGCUAGUUGGUGAGGUAAAGGCUUACCAAGGCGUCGAUCAGUAGCUGGUCUGAGAGGACGACCAGCCACACUGGGACUGAGACACGGCCCAGACUCCUACGGGAGGCAGCAGUGGGGAAUUUUGGACAAUGGGGGAAACCCUGAUCCAGCCAUGCCGCGUGAGUGAAGAAGGCCUUCGGGUUGUAAAGCCCUUUCAGCCGGAACGAAACGGUCACAGCUAAUACCUGUGACUACUGACGGUACCGGAAGAAGAAGCACCGGCUAACUACGUGCCAGCAGCCGCGGUAAUACGUAGGGUGCGAGCGUUAAUCGGAAUUACUGGGCGUAAAGCGUGCGCAGGCGGUUUUGUAAGUCAGAUGUGAAAUCCCCGGGCUUAACCUGGGAACU